Molecule: small RNA, 554 nt
Filed under: Pongo abelii (Sumatran orangutan)
Lineage: Eukaryota; Metazoa; Chordata; Mammalia; Primates; Hominidae
Description: retained intron
Source: RNAcentral
GACGGACGCAAGAUGGCGACGGCGACCAUAGCUCUCCAGGUCAAUGGCCAGCAAGGAGGGGGGUCCGAGCCGGCGGCGGCGGCAGUGGUGGCAGCGGGAGACAAAUGGAAACCUCCACAGGGCACAGACUCCAUCAAGAUGGAGAACGGGCAGAGCACAGCCGCCAAGCUGGGGCUGCCGCCCCUGACGCCCGAGCAGCAGGAGGCCCUUCAGAAGGCCAAGAAGUACGCCAUGGAGCAGAGCAUCAAGAGCGUGCUGGUGAAGCAGACCAUCGCGCACCAGCAGCAGCAGCUCACCAAUCUGCAGGUGAGCCCCAGCCGGAGCCUCCACCACCCUCCCCACCACCACCACCAUCUCCUCCUCUUCACGCUCUUCCUCCUCCUGUGCCUGCGGCCGUCCCCGCAAGCUGUUACAGUGCUCCGAUUCUCAAAGACUCAUGCUCGGGACCCCCAGGGUCCUCUCUGAGGCACGAGUGGCCCAGCCUUUCCCACCUGUUGCUCGCUGGAGCCCCGAAAGCGCCGCAGCCCCUUUCUUGGCUGCUUGGCUGUAGCUCU